AUUGAACGCUGGCGGCAUGCCUUACACAUGCAAGUCGAACGGCAGCACGGGUGCUUGCACCUAGUGGCGAGUGGCGAACGGGUGAGUAAUACAUCGGAACAUGUCCUGUAGUGGGGGAUAGCCCGGCGAAAGCCGGAUUAAUACCGCAUACGAUCUACGGAUGAAAGCGGGGGACCUUCGGGCCUCGCGCUAUAGGGUUGGCCGAUGGCUGAUUAGCUAGUUGGUGGGGUAAAGGCCUACCAAGGCGACGAUCAGUAGCUGGUCUGAGAGGACGACCAGCCACACCGGGACUGAGACAUGGCCCAGACUCCUACGGGAGGCAGCAGUGGGGAAUUUUGGACAAUGGGCGAAAGCCUGAUCCAGCAAUGCCGCGUGUGUGAAGAAGGCCUUCGGGUUGUAAAGCACUUUUGUCCGGAAAGAAAUCCUUGGCCCUAAUACGGUCGGGGGAUGACGGUACCGGAAGAAUAAGCACCGGCUAACUACGUG
RNAcentral lists this ribosomal RNA (486 nucleotides) under uncultured bacterium. RNAcentral's name for it is "partial 16S ribosomal RNA". It matches the Rfam family "Bacterial small subunit ribosomal RNA", at positions 30 to 507 of the family's 1533-position model. The record is from RNAcentral.